GACAGAGGUCCCAAGCGUUAGGCGGAAUCACUGGGCUUAAAGCGUGUGUAGGCGGAUGCCUAAGUACCUUGUGAAAUCCCACGGCUCACCCGUGGAACUGCUUGGUAUACUGGGUGUCUUGAGCCACUUAGGGGCUACCGGAACAAAUGGUGGAGCGGUGAAACGCGUAGAUAUCAUUUGGAACGCCAAUGGUGAAAACAGGUAGCUGGGAGUGUGCUGACGCUGAGACACGAAAGCCAGGGGAGCAAACGGG
Molecule: ribosomal RNA, 253 nt
Filed under: uncultured bacterium
Lineage: Bacteria
Description: partial 16S ribosomal RNA
Rfam family: Bacterial small subunit ribosomal RNA
Source: RNAcentral